This is a small nucleolar RNA of Rana temporaria (common frog), 133 nucleotides long. RefSeq annotates it as small nucleolar RNA SNORA5. The transcript has a single exon. Lineage: Eukaryota; Metazoa; Chordata; Amphibia; Anura; Ranidae. The record is from RefSeq and is a predicted model, not a curated record.
UGCAGCUUCGUCAAAUUCAGCCCCGCCCACUCCUGGCGGCCGCUGGCCAAUGGGCUGCUACAGAGUCCUGUAGCUCAUGGGCCUCGUUUUCUCUUCCGUAGAAUGCGAGGAUAAAAUUGUGCUACAAACAUUG